CUGAGGGGGGCUGCUCCUAGUAAGAGAGGACCGGAGUGGACGCAUCACUGGUGGUCGGGUUGUCAUGCCAAUGGCACUGCCCGGUAGCUAAAUGCGGAAGAGAUAAGUGCUGAAAGCAUCUAAGCACGAAACUUGCCCCGAGAUGAGUUCUCCCUGACUCCUUGAGAGUCCUGAAGGAACGUUGAAGACGACGACGUUGAUAGGCCGGGUGUGUAAGCGCAGCGAUGCGUUGAGCUAACCGGUACUAAUGAACCGUGAGGCUUAACCUUACAACGCCGAAG
RNAcentral lists this ribosomal RNA (281 nucleotides) under Escherichia coli. Its description in RNAcentral is "partial 23S ribosomal RNA". It matches the Rfam family "Bacterial large subunit ribosomal RNA", at positions 2662 to 2925 of the family's 2925-position model. The record is from RNAcentral. Lineage: Bacteria; Pseudomonadati; Pseudomonadota; Gammaproteobacteria; Enterobacterales; Enterobacteriaceae.